This 563-nucleotide ribosomal RNA is filed under the name Bacillus cereus. Its description in RNAcentral is "bacterial SSU rRNA". It matches the Rfam family "Bacterial small subunit ribosomal RNA", at positions 326 to 873 of the family's 1533-position model. The record is from RNAcentral. Lineage: Bacteria; Bacillati; Bacillota; Bacilli; Caryophanales; Bacillaceae.
CCGGGACCAACUUUUCAACGGGAGGCAGCAGUAGGGAAUCUUCCGCAAUGGACGAAAGUCUGACGGAGCAACGCCGCGUGAGUGAUGAAGGCUUUCGGGUCGUAAAACUCUGUUGUUAGGGAAGAACAAGUGCUAGUUGAAUAAGCUGGCACCUUGACGGUACCUAACCAGAAAGCCACGGCUAACUACGUGCCAGCAGCCGCGGUAAUACGUAGGUGGCAAGCGUUAUCCGGAAUUAUUGGGCGUAAAGCGCGCGCAGGUGGUUUCUUAAGUCUGAUGUGAAAAGCCCACGGCUCAACCGUGGGAGGGUCAUUGGAAACUGGGAGACUUGAGUGCAGAAGAGGAAAGUGGAAUUCCAUGUGUAGCGGUGAAAUGCGUAGAGAUAUGGAGGAACACCAGUGGCGAAGGCGACUUUCUGGUCUGUAACUGACACUGAGGCGCGAAAGCGUGGGGAGCAAACAGGAUUAGAUACUCUGGUAGUCCACGCCGUAAACGAUGAGUGCUAAGUGUUAGAGGGUUUCCAGCCCUUUAGUGCUGAAAGUUAACGCAUUAAGCACUCCGCC